RNAcentral lists this ribosomal RNA (458 nucleotides) under uncultured archaeon. Its description in RNAcentral is "bacterial SSU rRNA". It matches the Rfam family "Archaeal small subunit ribosomal RNA", at positions 401 to 859 of the family's 1478-position model. The record is from RNAcentral.
GGAUAGUUUUUCUUAAGUGUAAAAAGCUUUUGGAAUAAGAGCUGGGCAAGACCGGUGCCAGCCGCCGCGGUAACACCGGCAGCUUUAGUGGUAGCUGUUUUUAUUGGGCCUAAAGCGUUCGUAGCCGGUUUGAUAAGUCUCUGGUGAAAUCCUGUAGCUUAACUGUGGGAAUGCUGGUGAUACUGUUGAACUUGAGGUCGGGAGAGGUUAGCGGUACUCCCAGGGUAGAGGUGAAAUUCUGUAAUCCUGGGAGGACCACCUGUGGCGAAGGCGGCUAACUGGAACGAACCUGACGGUGAGGGACGAAAGCUAGGGGCGCGAACCGGAUUAGAUACCCGGGUAGUCCUAGCCGUAAACGAUGCGGACUUGGUGUUGGGGUGGCUUUGAGCUGUUUCGGUGCCGUAGGGAAGCUGUUAAGUCCGCCGCCUGGGAAGUACGGUCGCAAGACUGAAACUUAA